AGUCGAACGGCUCUUCGGAGCAGUGGCGGACGGGUGAGUAACGCGUGGGAACGUGCCCUUUGGUUCGGAACAACACAGGGAAACUUGUGCUAAUACCGGAUGUGCCCUUCGGGGGAAAGAUUUAUCGCCAUUGGAGCGGCCCGCGUUGGAUUAGGUAGUUGGUGGGGUAAAGGCCUACCAAGCCUACGAUCCAUAGCUGGUCUGAGAGGAUGAUCAGCCACACUGGGACUGAGACACGGCCCAGACUCCUACGGGAGGCAGCAGUAGGGAAUCUUGCGCAAUGGGCGAAAGCCUGACGCAGCCAUGCCGCGUGAAUGAUGAAGGUCUUAGGAUUGUAAAAUUCUUUCACCGGGGAAGAUAAUGACGGUACCCGGAGAAGAAGCCCCGGCUAACUUCGUGCCAGCAGCCGCGGUAAUACGAAGGGGGCUAGCGUUGCUCGGAAUUACUGGGCGUAAAGGGCGCGUAGGCGGACAGCUUAGUCAGAGGUAAAAGCCCAGGGCUCAACCUUGGAACUGCCUUUGAUACUGGCUGUCUUGAGUUCGGGAGAGGUGAGUGGAAUGCCGAGUGUAGAGGUGAAAUUCGUAGAUAUUCGGCGGAACACCAGUGGCGAAGGCGACUCACUGG
RNAcentral lists this ribosomal RNA (624 nucleotides) under uncultured Phenylobacterium sp. RNAcentral's name for it is "bacterial SSU rRNA". It matches the Rfam family "Bacterial small subunit ribosomal RNA", at positions 60 to 732 of the family's 1533-position model. The record is from RNAcentral. Lineage: Bacteria; Pseudomonadati; Pseudomonadota; Alphaproteobacteria; Caulobacterales; Caulobacteraceae.